Molecule: long non-coding RNA, 868 nt
Organism: Pipistrellus kuhlii (Kuhl's pipistrelle)
Lineage: Eukaryota; Metazoa; Chordata; Mammalia; Chiroptera; Vespertilionidae
Exons: 3
Source: RefSeq, a predicted model, not a curated record
CCCGGGUCCACAGAGGAGACUGUGCAAGGCGCGGGGGGGGGGGGGGGGGGGGGGGGGGCGGGGGACGAGAGUGUCCCUGCGGCCGCCCCGGAGUCACAGCGCCCUCUCUGGGCAGUGACGGAGUUUUCCCAGAUGGUGGACGAGUGGGGUCCGGACCACGGGUCCUGGGGAGCGGAGGGCAGGGGCAGGGGCAGGGGCAGGGGCGGCCCGCGGCCCCUCUGCGGGCGCACCUUUGUGGCGGAUGCUGCGCUUCCAGUCCUUGGCCGUCUCACGGCCGCUGACGAACUGGAAUUCGUUGGGGAGGAGGAAGGUGAGACACAGAAAAGUCAAGUAACACUCCUGAUAUCAUACAGCUGUUUCAUAUCCAGGUCAUCUGACGUUAGCUCAGACAGUAUCUGUGCCAAGCAGCUCUGGGGGAGAGGACCUGCUGUAUUUAUGUCUAUCUCAGGGCUUUGGAGCAGGAAUGAGAGUGGCUUGUCCCCUGAUGACCAGCCCACACCGCUGUGCCAGUCAGAAUGUCAUCCUUGCACUGGGAGAAUUAGGCAGGGAAGCUGAGAAACUCAGAGGCUGCAGGAAAGCAGUGGUAAUAACCGAUGAGACAGGCUUUCCUUUCUCUGGUGUGUCAUUGUGGACAGGCUGGAAGUAACCUCAGAUCCCAACCCAGCAGUCAGACCCCAAUACCUGUCCCUCUGAGAUGCAACCGGCAGGGCAUCUGUGGGCAUAUCCCUGAAUAGAUUCUGCAGGGGGAGCUGGGUCACAGCUUGCACAAGCACCUUCUGCAAGGGAGGGGUCGAGAGUGAGAGGACACACCACUGCCACUCACCUCCUACCAGCUGGGCCUGAGGUUGACCAUUGGCAACCAUUUUGG